AGGUUGCUCUGGACAGAGCGAGCUUUAAUCCUCCUUGAUAAUCUUGUUGAGAAAGGUACCCCUGGAGAUGACCACUUCCAGUUAUCUUUUCUCCAUUGCUAAACUGGAUUGCUCAGGACAGGUAUUUUAUACCCACACACAAAAG
Molecule: long non-coding RNA, 145 nt
Organism: Danio aesculapii
Lineage: Eukaryota; Metazoa; Chordata; Actinopteri; Cypriniformes; Danionidae
Exons: 3
Source: RefSeq, a predicted model, not a curated record